AUGCAGUGUACCCGCGGCAAGACGGAAAGACCCCGUGAACCUUUACUAUAGCUUGACACUGAACAUUGAGCCUUGAUGUGUAGGAUAGGUGGGAGGCUUUGAAGUGUGGACGCCAGUCUGCAUGGAGCCGACCUUGAAAUACCACCCUUUAAUGUUUGAUGUUCUAACGUGGACCCGUUACCCGGGUUGCGGACAGUGUCUGGUGGGUAGUUUGACUGGGGCGGUCUCCUCCUAAAGAGUAACGGAGGAGCACGAAGGUUGGCUAAUCCUGGUCGGACAUCAGGAGGUUAGUGCAAUGGCAUAAGCCAGCUUGACUGCGAGCGUGACGGCGCGAGCAGGUGCGAAAGCAGGUCAUAGUGAUCCGGUGGUUCUGAAUGGAAGGGCCAUCGCUCAACGGAUAAAAGGUACUCCGGGGAUAACAGGCUGAUACCGCCCAAGAGUUCAUAUCGACGGCGGUGUUUGGCACCUCGAUGUCGGCUCAUCACAUCCUGGGGCUGAAGUAGGUCCCAAGGGUAUGGCUGUUCGCCAUUUAAAGUGGUACGCGAGCUGGGUUUAGAACGUCGUGAGACAGUUCGGUCCCUAUCUGCCGUGGGCGCUGGAGAACUGAGGGGGGCUGCUCCUAGUACGAGAGGACCGGAGUGGACGCAUCACUGGUGUUCGGGUUGUCAUGCCAAUGGCACUGCCCGGUAGCUAAAUGCGGAAGAGA
RNAcentral lists this ribosomal RNA (706 nucleotides) under Salmonella enterica subsp. enterica serovar Weltevreden. RNAcentral describes it as "partial 23S ribosomal RNA". It matches the Rfam family "Bacterial large subunit ribosomal RNA", at positions 2059 to 2764 of the family's 2925-position model. Lineage: Bacteria; Pseudomonadati; Pseudomonadota; Gammaproteobacteria; Enterobacterales; Enterobacteriaceae. The record is from RNAcentral.